CUCCAAAAUUUUAUAAAACACGUUCUCAUAUUCUUCUAUGGGAAUUAGGGCAACAACAAGAUCGACCCACUCGAUCGAUAGGAUUCACUUCACCGGCGACAGGUCUACCGUAAUUUCUACUCGGUCAUAUUUCCUUCAUGGAGGAUCUCAAUUAUCAAGCAUCUCUUGCUUGUAGGAGAGCAACUGCAGAAAGUGCUUCUCAGAUUCUGCUAGCCUUAACUUGCUAAGACGAAAAUCCUAAUGCAGAAAAGAGGGCACUAGUUUGAUUUCUUGAAGGUUAUGCUAAGUUGAUAUAUAUGCCUUCACCCUAGCAUUAAAAAACAGAGAGAUCAAAAUAAAUCCAACAUCAUGGUUGCAGUUACGCGUGCACAAUCUUGGUCAGCUUUCUGAGUUACAUUCCUGCUGCAAAAAAAAAUCGUAGUCCAUACAUUGCUUGAGGUUACAUUGACAAGAUUUUUUCCUGCCCUUAGCGUAUCGAGGUCACAACCAUCCAGAUCUGUCAUUGAGGUUCAUUCCUGUUGGAACAUUCCAGACUAAGAGUGCGUGGGCUAGAAACAAGCAAAGAGGACACUUGGAUCUUGAGAGUACAGUUGGAGAGUUUCCCCUAUGUACGGCCAGCCCAUUGAACCAGGAGGCAGCUUUGCUUUUUAAGAAAUGGUGUUUAUCAAGGCCCACUCAAGCGGAAGAAAAUUCAGAAAGCAACCUCUCUACCAAACUAAGAUAGGAUAAGGUAUGCAUACAUCCUACACUCCUACCUUUCCCACACCCUGCUUGUGGAAUACCUCGGUAUAUUGUUGUUGUUGAUUGGUUGUUUGGGGGAGUGGAGCGAUCAGGAACUGAUCACAUAGUAAAAUACAGAUAUGUAGAUCAUAUAAUAUCCUAAUCGAGUUCAUAUAAUAAAACACACAUAUAUAUGAUGGUACCUCAAUUCAAAAGUUCUCUUUCUACUGGAAAAUGAGCAUGUCCGUGGUCCAUUGUAGAAAGAUAGAGCCAACGUAAACAACAAAAAAGUUUUGAGGACUUUCUGAAUAUGCUCAUUAAUUUGCAUAUAUAACAUAUGAGAAUAUUUUCUGAACUAUGCAAUAACGUUUUUGUAACACCACUCUCCCUCUUGAGUUAUUAUAGCACAUGAUAGGCUCUUCUAAUUUGUUUUACAUGACAUAAGUGAUUAGCAGAUGUGUAUUUAGCUUCAAAAGUAAUAUCAGCAACUAUAGAACUUUGUUGCUUCUGUAUAACUGCUAUGAUAUAAUUGUCACGAAUCACGAUAGCAUUUUCCUUCUGCCUUUUGAA
Molecule: long non-coding RNA, 1290 nt
Organism: Solanum pennellii
Lineage: Eukaryota; Viridiplantae; Streptophyta; Magnoliopsida; Solanales; Solanaceae
Exons: 5
Source: RefSeq, a predicted model, not a curated record